Molecule: ribosomal RNA, 1250 nt
Filed under: uncultured organism
Description: bacterial SSU rRNA
Rfam family: Bacterial small subunit ribosomal RNA
Source: RNAcentral
GAGUAAAGAUUUCGGUCGCUUUGGGAGGAGCUCGCUUACUAUCAGCUUGUUGGUAGGGUAAUGGCCUACCAAGGCUAUGACGGUUAGGGGGUGUGAGAGCAUGACCCCCAGCAUUGGCACUGAAACACUGGCCAAACACCUACGGGUGGCUGCAGUCGAGAAUCUUCCACAAUGGGGGAAACCCUGAUGGAGCGAUGCUGCGUGCGGGAUGAAGGCCUUCGGGUUGUAAACCGCUUUUGUAGGGGACGAAAUUUUUGACGGUACCCUUUCGAAUAAGAGGUUGCUAACUCUGUGCCAGCAGCAGCGGUAAUACAGAGACCUCAAGCGUUAUCCGGAUUUACUGGGCGUAAAGCGUCUGUAGGGGGUUUAUUAAGUUCCAAGUAAAAUUUCAAGGCUCAACUUUGAAUUCGCUUGGAAAACUAAUAAACUGGAGUCUAGCAGAGGUGCAUGGAACUUGUGGUGUAGGAGUGAAAUCCGUUGAUAUCACAAGGAACACCAAAGGCGAAGGCAUUGCACUGGGCUAGCACUGACCCUGAGAGACGAAAGCGUGGGGAGCAAAACGGAUUAGAUACCCGUGUAGUCCACGCCCUAAACGAUGAAUGCUAAAUGUUCGGGGAUUCGACCCCCUGGGUGUUACAGCUAACGCGUUAAGCAUUCCGCCUGGGAAGUACGGCCGCAAGGCUAAAACUCAAAGGAAUAGACGGGGAUCCGCACAAGCGGUGGAGCGUCUGGUUUAAUUCGACAGUAAGCGUGGUACCUCACCAGGGUUUGACAUCCCUUGACAGCCUUGGAAACAAGGUUUCCUUCGGGCAAGGUGACAGGUGCUGCAUGGUCGUCGUCAGUUCGUGCCGUGAGGUGUUCCGUUAAGUCGGGAAACGAACGAAACCCCUAUUGCAUGUUACAAUUUCUCAUGCAAGACUGCCCGGAUAUACUGGGAGGAAGGUGGGGAUGACGUCAGAUCUGCAUGGUCCUUAUACCCUGGGCGACACAGGCGCUACAAUGGCAGAGACAAAGGGUUGCAAAACCGCAAGGCGAAGCUAAUCCCAAAAACUUUGUCUAAGUUCGGAUUGAAGGCUGCAAUUCGCCUUCAUGAAGCUGGAAUCGCUAGUAAUCGUGAAUCAGCCACGUCACGGUGAAUAUGUUCCCGGAUCUUGUACUCACCGCCCGUCACACCAAGAGAGUUGGUAGCUCCCGAAGCGUCCCGUUUUAGCGGGGCAUCACGGAGAGAUCAGCGAUAGGGGUGAAGUCGU